RNAcentral lists this ribosomal RNA (871 nucleotides) under Metademius cf. penicillatus NLG-2013. Its description in RNAcentral is "partial 16S ribosomal RNA". The record is from RNAcentral. Lineage: Eukaryota; Metazoa; Arthropoda; Insecta; Coleoptera; Cleridae.
AGGGUUAAUUAAAAUUAUUUUUUUAUAAAAUAUUCUCGAAUUCAAAAGAGUUAAUUAAAAAUAGAUUUUAUUGUAAAAUAAAUAUUUAAAAUUUUUAAUUAGAAAUGAAACGUUAGUCGUUUUUGAAUAUAUCUAGUUUUUGAAGAAAUAAAUUUAAUUUAGUUAUUAAUUAAUUAAAAUUUUAAUUUUUUAAUUUUUUAUUUAUUAAUAGAAAAUAUUUAUAGGGAUAAGCUUAUAAUUAAAUUAUUAUAAUAAAAUAAAUUUUAAAAUAAAUUUUAGGAUUAAAAAUUUUCAUAGGUAAAAAAUUGUUAUAAUUGAUUAUUUAUUAAAUAAAAUUUUUAUUUUAUUUAAUUUUUUUAUUUAAAUAUAGAUUUAAAUUUUAAAAAUUUAGAAAUAAUGAUUAAAUUAGUAUAAAUUUAUGUUUGUAAAAUUUUUAAUUUUAGGUUAAAUUAAGGAACUCGGCAAAUUUAUUUUUCACCUGUUUAUUAAAAACAUGUCCUUUUGAUUAUAAUUUAAGGUCUAAUCUGCCCACUGAUUAAUUAAAUGGCCGCGGUAUUUUGACCGUGCAAAGGUAGCAUAAUAAUUAGUUUCUUAAUUAGAAGCUGGAAUGAAAGAUUGGAUGAGAAAAUAACUGUCUCAAUUUAAAUUAAUUAGAAUUUUAUAUUUAAGUAAAAAAGCUUAAAUUUUAUUAAAAGACGAGAAGACCCUAUAGAGUUUUAUAAAAGAUUUUUUAUAUAAAUUUAUUUUUAAUUUUUUAAUAUUUAAUUUUUUAUUUUGUUGGGGUGAUAAAAAAAUUAAAUUAACUUUUUUUAUAUUUUAACACUAAUGAGUGAUUAAUUGAUCCAAAAUUAUUGAUUAAAAGAAAAAUACU